CGGGGGAGGCCGGAUCCUGGGCUGUGUCCCCCCGCCCUGUGCUCACGGUCUGCGCUGUUGGAUUCACGCUCCCGGCCGUGCAGCCCCCU
This 89-nucleotide microRNA precursor is filed under the name Canis lupus familiaris (dog). RNAcentral's name for it is "mir-8799 microRNA precursor family". It matches the Rfam family "mir-8799 microRNA precursor family". The record is from Rfam by way of RNAcentral. Lineage: Eukaryota; Metazoa; Chordata; Mammalia; Carnivora; Canidae. RNAcentral also lists the same sequence under 1 other name.